Molecule: ribosomal RNA, 435 nt
Filed under: Hypsolebias trilineatus
Lineage: Eukaryota; Metazoa; Chordata; Actinopteri; Cyprinodontiformes; Rivulidae
Description: partial 12S ribosomal RNA
Rfam family: Bacterial small subunit ribosomal RNA
Source: RNAcentral
AACUGGGAUUAGAUACCCCNCUAUGCUCCUCACCNAAACCUUGGAAAGAUUUNCUACAGCAUUAACUCGCCUGGAAACUACGAGCGAAAGCUUCANACUCANGGGGUCNGGCGGCACUUUAAACUAUCNUAGAGGAGCCUGUCCUAUAAUCGAUUAUCCCCGUUAAACCUUACCUUCUCUUGCAAUUGGUCAGCCUGUAUACCGCCGUNGUCAGCUUUCCCCCNNUAAAGGCUAUCUAAGUNAGGCAAGACUGGUUCUACCCAAAACGCCAGGUCGAGGUGCAGCUUACGAGAAGGAAAGUGGUGGGCUACAUUUCCUGNNACUAGGAAACANCGAAUAGUAUGUUGAAAAAUGUACAUUGAAGGUGGAUUUAGAAGUAAAUAAAAAAUAGAGUGUUUUAUUGAAAAAGNUAUUANNCGCGGGGCUNAAGCNGGG